Long non-coding RNA from Oncorhynchus kisutch (coho salmon), 2473 nucleotides. The record is from Ensembl. NCBI's taxonomy places the organism in Eukaryota, Metazoa, Chordata, Actinopteri, Salmoniformes, Salmonidae.
AUGGAAGAGGAGGCUAUCACAUUGAAACAAGAGGAUGAUAUUACAGGGAAAGAGGAAGAUGGGAAAGAGGUUGUCAGAGUGGAAAAUGAGGAGGUAGAAGCUUUCAGAAUCAAAAAUGAUGAAGAUCCCGUAACAUUGAAGAAGGAGAAUAUAGUAAAAGAAGAGGAAGAAGCUUUCAGAAUCAAAAAGGAAGAAGAUGCCGUAACAUUGAAGAAAGAGAAUGUAGCGAAAGAAGAGGAAGAACCUUUUGGAGUAAAAGAGGAGGAAGAUGUUUUAGGAGUGAAAAAGGAGGAGGAGUCAGAAUAUCCGAUUUCCAUCCGAGAGAGACAUGACGAUCCUGGAUCCUCUGGGGAGCCUCAACAACAUCCUGAUGCUGACGAGGCAGAGAAGAGUCUCUCCAGAUCAGAACACCAGAUGGACAACGCUAGCCCUUCCUCCCUCCCGGAGUCCCCGUGUCAUGCCUCUUCCGGUAGCACCUUACUGCUGGGUAUGAAGAGGUUGUCUGUGCUGCUGGUGGACUGCAGGAAAACAACGGGGCUGAGUGGAACUGUGAGAGGAGGAGAAGAGAAGAAAGGAUCAGAUUUGACACAUCAAAGUAAGUGCUGUAGUUUAGUUUGAACAAAUACAAUAGAUCUGCCCACUGGUAUCUGUUACCAGGACAACCAGCAGAGUUCUGUUUGUUGACAGGAAGAUAGACUGGUAUAUUUCCACCACAGUAGACAGUUCUGUUAAUUGACAUGUAAAACCUUGAUGUAAGUUGUUUUAGAGAGAAACCAAUAGACCAUAUAAAACCUUGAUGAAAGUCAGCUUUAGAGGGAAAGUUUCAAGAGGAUCUGAUGUAAGGUGCAUGUUUUACAAAAAUCUUUUCCAUAAAACAUGAUGGAUGUUACAUUGCCUGUCCCAGUCAACCCCCUUAUCUUUACUAGACUGUAGAACAGGAACUUGUCGGCCCUGCAUUAAGGACCAAAUUGUGAUAAAUAGAAAUGUUUACCAGUUCCAUUUAAGGACCAAACAACUGACAGCUGUGCCAAAUAAAUUUCAAAAUAGUUGGCAAGAGAUUUUCAUUGUACUGAUUCCAUGGCACAUGGUUUAUGAAUUGACACGCAAAAUGACGCCGGAUUGAAAGCUCAGCACAGUUAAAAUAUAUAUGGCAAAUAUAAAUCCCAUAUGGAUGUUAAGAGACAGAUGGGAGGGGUUGAAUGGAGCUGAAGGGACUGGAUGGUGUUAAGAGACAGAUGGGAGGGGUUGAAUGGAGCUGAAGGAUGGGACUGGAUGGUGUUUAGAGACAGAUGGGAGUGGUUGAAUGGAGCUGAAGGGACUGGAUGGUGUUUAGAGACAGAUGGGAGGGGUUGAAUGGAGCUGAAGGGACUGGAUGGUGUUUAGAGACAGAUGGGAGGGGUUGAAUGGAACUGAAGGGACUGGAUGGUGUUAAGAGACAGAUGGGAGGGGUUGAAGGGACUGGAUGGUGUUUAGAGACAGAUGGGUGGGGUUGAAUGGAGCUGAAGGGACUGGAUGGUGUUGAGACAGAUGGGAGGGGUUGAAUGGAGCUGAAAGGUGGGACUGGAUGGUGUUUAGAGACAGAUGGAAGGGGUUGAAUGGAGCUGAAGGGACUGGAUGGUGUUUAGAGACAGAUGGGAGGGGUUGAAUGGAGCUGAAAGGUGGGACUGGAUGGUGUUUAGAGACAGAUGGGUGGGGUUGAAUGGAGCUGAAGGGUGGGACUGGAUGGUGUUAAGAGAUGGAAGGGGUUGAAUGGAGCUGAAGGGUGGGACUGGAUGGUGUUAAGAGAUGGAAGGGGUUGAAUGGAGCUGAAGGGUGGGACUGGAUGGUGUUAAGAGAUGGAAGGGGUUGAAUGGAGCUGAAGGGUCUGGAUGGUGUUUAGAGACAGAUGGGAGGGGUUGAAUGGAGCUGAAGGGUGGGACUGGAUGGUGUUUAGAGACAGAUGGGAGGGGUUGAAUGGAGCUGAAGGGACUGGAUGGUGUUUAGAGACAGAUGGGAGGGGUUGAAUGGAGCUGAAGGGUGGGACUGGAUGGUGUUUAGAGACAGAUGGGAGGGGUUGAAUGGAGCUGAAGGGACUGGAUGGUGUUUAGAUACAGAUGGGAGGGGUUGAAUGGAGCUGAAGGGACUGGAUGGUGUUUAGAGACAGAUGGGAGGGGUUUAAUGGAGCUGAAGGGUGGGACUGGAUGGUGUUAAGAGAUGGGAGGGGUUGAAUGGAGCUGAAGGGGCUGGAUGGUGUUAAGAGAUGGAAGGGGUUGAAUGGAGCUGAAGGGUGGGACUGGAUGGUGUUAAGAGAUGGAAGGGGUUGAAUGGAGUUGAAGGGUGGGACUGGAUGGUGUUAAGAGAUGGAAGGGGUUGAAUGGAGCUGAAGGGUGGGACUGGAUGGUGUUUAGAGACAGAUGGGAGGGGUUGAAUGGAGCUGAAGGGACUGGAUGGUGUUUAGAGACAGAUGGGAGGGGUUGAAUGGAGCUGAAGUGGG